Molecule: unclassified non-coding RNA, 245 nt
Filed under: Hevea brasiliensis (rubber tree)
Lineage: Eukaryota; Viridiplantae; Streptophyta; Magnoliopsida; Malpighiales; Euphorbiaceae
Source: RNAcentral
AGCAGCAGCAGCAGCAGCACUAAAGAUCAUUAUGAUCAGAGGAUCUACAUUAUGAAUUGGAAUGAAUGAUCAUUUCAUUUCUUUGUGUUGAAGGCAGAUGCUAAUGCUUUCUACAUCAUUGAAUCCUUAGGAUAGAGGAGGCUCUUCGAGGACUGCAGAUUGAUUUCCACUAUUCAUCAACCUCCUCUUCAACGGUAUCUCCUACUUCUUCUCACUUACCAAGUGAUGGGUGCAUUAACUAGUGU